CAAAAAUACUUAGGCAUUCACACUCAUUCAUUUAUCUGUGGCUUUUGUUCCUUUCUUACAUCUAAUUAAAUUAAGAGAAAUACCAGGUGUAGAAUUCUUAGAUAUUUAGAGUUUUUAGUGAGCAAGAGAAAUACACCCUCAUGUGCCCUGGGGAGACAAUUAAUUUGGUUUUUCUGUACUUUAGGAUUAUCAAGCCUAUCUGGAAUUGUUAUGGCUUUUUAUCCUUUCAGCCAUUCUGAUGCUAAUGGAAAAAACAUCAGCAAGGAUAGCAAAGAAACAAAAUGUCACAUCUUGUUUAUGCCAUUUGGUUGUCACAUGUAUCCACUUAAUUGCUCUUCUCCCAGAUGGGACUCAUAUGACAAUGUCGCAACUUUUGGAAAAAUGCCUACUUUCCUCAGAACCAAGAUGUCCUAGAUGGAAGUGACCUUCAGAGCUUGGAUAAGAGGUUACACAAGAGGGUUUGAUGCGUGGAGAUGCUACAGCUAACUCCUUCUCUCUUUUUGUCCCAAACUUGAGCCCUUUCCUCAGAAAAAAAGGGGUUUUGUCAUAUCAUAAUUUCCACAGGUAACAAGUUGUGUGCCAAAUAAAGCCAACCAUGUUGGGUUUUGUUUUUUAAUGGGUAAUUCUAUUGAUCUUUCUUUUGUACUGAGCAACUUGGAGCCAUGAUGGCAUUGAAGCUUGCAGAGCUUCUCAGUGUUGUAUAUGAGGACCCUAAGAUCAAACGUCUUAACUUGAAGAAGCUUUUCCUCAAGAGACAGAUGUAGAACACCCUGAUCUCACUGCAUUUUCCCAAGACCUGUGGGCCCUUUUACAGAAGACCUUCAGCCAUGAGAGGAGUGACAAUAUGACAGUUUAGGAUCCUUGUAUGGGACACUAAUGGAUUAAAGAGAAGAGGGCAGACAGUUUCUUCCCUCUUUUGAAUCUAAAGUGUGGCUUUACCAAGAUGAUGGACCACAGAGUCCUGGGAGGUUCUGAGAUUCAGGAGUCUCUCUGGACAACUCCUGCUUAAAGAUGCUCUUGUGAUAUAUGGUUGACCUACCUGAAACUACCUACCUUUCCUUCUUCCCACCUCUGUCACAUCUCUGAGCUUCUUUCCAGUGAUAUCACUAGUCUUAGAAUGAUACAAGCAGAACCUUACCACAAGGAUCAUGCCUCCCUCUUCAGCUUCUUGUUAUUAUGAACUUUUUCCUCUUAACACCUUGAAGGAUGCGAUGCAUAAAUAUAAAUGUGAAUUUUUUGUGUGUCUGAACUGAGAAAAGUAAUGAAGUAUAACAAAUGUCCUGGAUUUGAAUAUGCAGAAUCAGCAGAUCCUCCUGCUUAACUCUACCAAAAAGAGUAAGGUACUGUGUAUUCCAGCCUCAGUCACCUUAGCAUUUCUUCUUCCAGGUCAUUCUGUGCGCUCAACCUAAUGACCGGUACUUGAAGUCCAUUUCUGAGUGGAACUUCCAUGAUAAGGUACAGUCUGUAAGUGUAGAGUUUCCUAUUCAGGACUUCUCGUCCAUUCCUGUCCUACUCCAUUUGGGGAGUAUGGAUAGACUCACUUGCUAAAAUGGUGAAGCCAGUGCCCACAGCUGGCCAGGCUGAGCUGUUUCUGAAGCUCAAAGAAGCUAUGACUCAUCCUCCUACGUCUGUUAGCUUCCCACUCCCCUCCCUAGACCAACUACUCCUCUCAUUCUGACUCCUACAAACCCACUUAUUUUCAACUUUGCUCAAUAACCAUGACAUUCAAACCCAGCCUGCUUCAUACGCAGGAUGCUGCUAAAGCACACGGUGAGAAUCAGGGUCCACGGAAGAAAGAAUGACCUCAAGGUGAGGGCUGUUUUCUCGGAUGAUGGGUGGUGAGAGAUAGCUAUUAAUGAGAGAGUACAGCAAGUUUUAGGACAUGUGUCAUCAUGCCCAAUUGAGUGAAGGGAAUACAGUCACUGUAAUUGGUGGUUUUCAGGAAGUCACACCACAUUUUAAUUGAAAGCACAGGCUUCUACAAGAUUAGGAACAUAAACCUUUGGUGCUGAAGCUGGACUGAGCUGGUAACAUUGAGCUAAAAUGGCUUCCUGCCAUAAAGCAGCAUUGCUCAAGCUUGUUCUCCCGAUGACACUUCCAGACCCUUUUGCAAAGUCACAAAAGAAAACUCAAAAAACACUUUUCAGAGAAGAUUCAGGUCUUUUCCUACCAGAGAUACUUUGGGGGAAAGAUUGAGAAGAAGCCAGUAGUUUAUUGCAAAGCCACUGAAACCAACACUGACUCCUCCACCCUUCCAUCAGGUGCCAUGAGGGCACAGGCAUCUCCAGCCAGGCCUCUGUUUCUCAGAGUUUGGAUUCUAGGCCCACCUGUUUCCAGCCAGUGUCCAGUGACUACAGAGGCCUCCAGUUCUUUGGAAAGAAGAAAUACUCAAUAGAUUCAUUCAAAAAAAUAUUUGUUGAGUAUCUACCAAGUGCUGGUCACUAAGACACGAGGAAUUUCAAUAGCGAUAAUUAGCGGGGAUACAAGCCCAAUAAAAUUAACCAUUAGAUUUCCAGUGGAAACCCCAGAGUAUAUAUUAAACAUAAAUCUGAAUUUAAAACACAACUCAUUUUCUGUAUUGUUAAUUUUUAAAAAUUUCUUUGCUUGUAAAGUUAGAGCGUUAUGAAGAUCUCCGAGGUGUAUCUCUGAGGUUUGCCUGUAUAUGGCUGCGUAACCACCGCCACACUCAGGCUGCGGAACAUGUCCAUCCAUCAGAAAGCUCCUUCACGACCCUUGCAGCCAGCACCCUUCCCUAGUUCCCACUCUGGCAGGCAAUGAUUAGAUUUUUCUACAUACAUUUUUGCUUUUUAAAAGAAUGUAAUGCAAUUGGAUUCAUAUAGUAUAUAACCUUUGGGAUUGGCUACUUUUGCUUAGCAUAAAACUUCUGAGAUUCACCAAUGGAUGAAGUAUCAGUGAUUCAGUUCUUUUAAUGGCUGAGUGGUAUUCCAUUGCCUGCGUGUAUCUCUGUUUGUUUAUCCAUUCACCAGAUGCAGGACAUUUGGGUCAUUUCCAGUUUGGGACUAUUGUGAAUAAAGCUGCUAGAAACAUUCCCCUAUAGGACUUUAUGUGAAUACAUAAUUUCAUUUCUCUUGGGUAAAUAAAAACAUAGGAUUGCGUUAUGGAUGGUAUAGAAAAUGUAUAUGUAGGUGGCAGACUUGGCCCAGUGGUUAGGGCGUCCAUCUACCACAUGGGAGGUCCGCGGUUCAAACCCCAGGCCUCCUUGACCCAUGUGGAGCUGGCCCAUGCGCAGUGCUGAUGCGCGCAAGGAGUGCCCUGCCACGCAGGGGUGUCCCCACGUAGGGGAGCCCCACGCGCAAGGAGUGUGUCCCAUAAGGAGAGCUGCCCAGCGCGAAAGAAAGCGCAGCCUGCCCAGGAAUGGUGCCGCACACACGGAGAGCUGACACAACAAGAUGAUGCAACAAAAAGAAACACAGAUUCCCGUGCCGCUGAUAACAACAGAAGCGGACAAAGAAGAUGCAGCAAAUAGACACAGAGAACAGACAACCAGGGUGGGAGGGGAGGAGGGAGAGAAAUAAAAUAAAUAAAUAAAUCUUUAAAAAAGAAAAUGUAUGUGUAUGCUUGACUUUUUAAGAAUCUGUCAAACUGCUUUCCAAAGUGGCUAUAUCAUCUUGCAUCCCAACCAGCAAGGAAUGAGAGUUACACUUGCUCUACAUUCUUCUCAGCACUU
This is a long non-coding RNA of Dasypus novemcinctus (nine-banded armadillo), 3688 nucleotides long. NCBI's taxonomy places the organism in Eukaryota, Metazoa, Chordata, Mammalia, Cingulata, Dasypodidae. The record is from Ensembl.